GUUAUGGGGCAAUGUGGGGCACUAUGGGGUGUGUUAGGGCAGUUAUGGGGUGCUGCGGGGCGCUAUGGGGCAGGUUAGGGCAGUUAUGGGGCGAUGGGGGAAGCUGUGGGGCAGUUGUGGGGCGCUAUGGGGCAGAGCAGUGAUCCCCUCCUGCCCCACAGCGAGCGAUCGGGGCCUGGUUGCGGCGCGGCUUCGAUGGAGUCUUCCUGGACGGCAUCGAGGAGCUGAAGGUGUGGGGCUGACUUGUGGGGCGCUAUGGGGCGGGGCUGUGGGGCUGCGCUUUUAGGGCGCUAUGGGGUGGGGCUGUGCGGUGCUAUGGGGUGCUGUUAUGCAGCGCUGUGGGUCUCUAUAGGGCGGUAUGAGUUUCUGUAGAGUGCUGUGGGGUUCUGUGGGGCACUGUGGGGCGGCGCUAUGGGGUAGGGUUAUGGGGCUGCUCUAUGGGGCGCUAUGGGGUGGAGCUAUGCAGCGCUGUGGGUCUCUGUAGGGCACGAUGGGUUUUUGUAGGGAACUGCGAGUUUCUGUGGGUCUUUUAAGAUUGUGUGGGGCGCUAUGGGGCAGUGCUGUGGGGCAGUGCUGUGGGGCGCUAUGGGGCGGUGCCAUGGAGCUGUGCUGUGGGGCGGUGCUGUGGGGCGCUAUGGGGUGGUGCUGUGGGGCGCUACGGGGCGGUGCUGUGGGGCGCAGUGGGGCGCUACAGGGCGGUGCUGUGGGGCGCAGUGGGGCAGUGCUGUGGGGCAGUGCUGUGGGGCGCUAUGGGGCAGUGCUGAGGGGCGCUAUGGGGCGGUGCCAUGGAGCUGUGCUGUGGGGCGCAGUGGAGCGCUAUGGGGCUGUGCUGUGGGGCGUUAUGGGGCGGUGCUGUGGGGCUCUCUGGGGCGUUAUGGGGCGGUGCUGUGGGGCGCUAUGGGGCAGUGCCUUGGGGCGGUGCUGUGGGGCGCUAUGGGGCAGUGCCUUGGGGCUGUGCUGUGGGGCGCUAUGGGGCGGUGCUGUGGGGCGCAGUGGGGCGCUAUGGGGCCACGCCACGGGGCUGUGCUG
Molecule: long non-coding RNA, 1029 nt
Filed under: Numida meleagris (helmeted guineafowl)
Lineage: Eukaryota; Metazoa; Chordata; Aves; Galliformes; Numididae
Description: lncRNA (ENSNMEG00000002936.1)
Source: RNAcentral